CCCUUAGAUGUUCUGGGCUGCACACGCGCUACACUGGCAGGUUCAGCGAGCUUCUUGCCCUGAUCUGAGAAGAAUGGGAAACCUUUUCAACACCUGCCGUGCUUGGGAUAGAUGUUUGCAAUUAUUCAUCUUCAACAAGGGUUGCCUUGUAGGCGUGCCUCAUCAGGGCACAUCGAAUACGACCCUGUAUUCUGUACACACCGCCCGUCGCUCCUACCGAUUGAAGUUUUCGGUGAAUUUGCAGGAGGUUUGCUUUGAAACUGGUUCGCCAGUGGAUUUGUGGACCAAAUGCAUGUGAAUCGAUGGCUUUAGAGGAAGGAGAAGUCGUAACA
RNAcentral lists this ribosomal RNA (332 nucleotides) under uncultured eukaryote. RNAcentral's name for it is "partial 18S ribosomal RNA". It matches the Rfam family "Eukaryotic small subunit ribosomal RNA", at positions 1470 to 1796 of the family's 1831-position model. The record is from RNAcentral.